RNAcentral lists this unclassified non-coding RNA (353 nucleotides) under uncultured fungus. Its description in RNAcentral is "partial contains small subunit ribosomal RNA, internal transcribed spacer 1, and 5.8S ribosomal RNA". The stretch from base 1 to 73 matches the Rfam family "Eukaryotic small subunit ribosomal RNA", at positions 1759 to 1831 of the family's 1831-position model. Lineage: Eukaryota; Fungi. The record is from RNAcentral.
GCAAACUUGGUCAUUUAGAGGAAGUAAAAGUCGUAACAAGGUUUCCGUAGGUGAACCUGCGGAAGGAUCAUUAAAAAAUUUGAUUAUUUAAGCAAAUAAUCUAUAUGGAUAAAAUAAUCCAUAUCCAUUUUAUGUGCAUCUAUUGAUUUGUAUACUUUGACAGAUUUUUUUUUAUUUUAAAAUAGAGAUUAAAAUUAAAAUAUUUUUUAGUUUGAUCUCUAAAAUCUGUCAGAGUUUUUUUUUUCCCCAAACAUUUUAAAAUUUUAAUUAUACUUGAAUUUUUCAUUAUUACAAAAUCAAAUACAACUUUCAACAACGGAUCUCUUGGCUCUUGCAUCGAUGAAGAACGCAGC